GCAGUCGCCACGGGAAUACAGAGGGUGCGAGCGUUAAUCGGAUUUACUGGGCGUAAAGCGUGCGUAGGCGGCUUCUUAAGUCGGAUGUGAAAUCCCUGAGCUUAACUUAGGAAUUGCAUUCGAUACUGGGAAGCUAGAGUAUGGGAGAGGAUGGUAGAAUUCCAGGUGUAGCGGUGAAAUGCGUAGAGAUCUGGAGGAAUACCGAUGGCGAAGGCAGCCAUCUGGCCUAAUACUGACGCUGAGGUACGAAAGCAUGGGGAGCAAACAGGAUUAGAUACCCCCGUAGUCCCUGUCUCUUAUAC
RNAcentral lists this ribosomal RNA (302 nucleotides) under uncultured bacterium. RNAcentral's name for it is "partial 16S ribosomal RNA". It matches the Rfam family "Bacterial small subunit ribosomal RNA", at positions 508 to 807 of the family's 1533-position model. The record is from RNAcentral.